RNAcentral lists this ribosomal RNA (810 nucleotides) under uncultured bacterium. RNAcentral's name for it is "bacterial SSU rRNA". It matches the Rfam family "Bacterial small subunit ribosomal RNA", at positions 31 to 848 of the family's 1533-position model. The record is from RNAcentral.
GAACCCUGGCGGCGUGCUAACACAUGCAAGUCGGACGAUGAUGCCCUUCGGGGUGGAUUAGUGGCGAACGGGUGAGUAACACGUGAGCAACCUGCCCUUGACUCUGGGAUAAGCCUGGGAAACUGGGUCUAAUACCGGAUAGUACUCCCUGCCGCAUGGUGGGGGGUGGAAAGCCUUGUGCGGUCUUGGAUGGGCUCGCGGCCUAUCAGCUUGUUGGUGGGGUGAUGGCCUACCAAGGCGACGACGGGUAGCCGGCCUGAGAGGGUGACCGGCCACACUGGGACUGAGACACGGCCCAGACUCCUACGGGAGGCAGCAGUGGGGAAUAUUGCACAAUGGGCGGAAGCCUGAUGCAGCGACGCCGCGUGGGGGAUGACGGCCUUCGGGUUGUAAACCCCUUUCAGCAGGGAACAAGCGAGAGUGAGGGUACCUGCAGAAGAAGCGCCGGCUAACUACGUGCCAGCAGCCGCGGUAAUACGUAGGGCGCGAGCGUUAUCCGGAAUUAUUGGGCGUAAAGAGCUCGUAGGCGGUUUGUCGCGUCUGCUGUGAAAGCCCGGGGCUCAACCCCGGGUCUGCAGUGGGUACGGGCAGGCUGGAGUGCAGUAGGGGAGACUGGAAUUCCUGGUGUAGCGGUGAAAUGCGCAGAUAUCAGAGGAACACCCGAUGGCGAAAGCAGGUUCUUCUUGGGCUUGUAACUGACGCUGAGGAACCAAAAGCUGGGGAGCGAACAGGAUUAGAUACCCUGGUAGUCCAUGCCGUAAACGUUGGGCACUUAGGUGUUGGGGGCCCAUUCCACGGUUUUCCGGGCCG